GUUGGAUAAUCUACCCUAAGGUGGAGGAUAACCUCGGGAAACUGAGAAUAAUACUCCAUAAGUCUAGGAUACUGGAAUGUACUUAGGCUGAAAACUUCGGUGCCCUACGAUGAGUCUGCGGACUAUCAGGUUGUAGUCAGGGUAAAGACCUGACUAGCCUACAACGGAUACGGGUUGUGAGAGCAAUAACCCGGAGAUGAUAUCUGAGACACGAUAUCAGGCCCUACGGGGCGCAGCAGGCGCGAAAACUUCACACUGCGCGAAAGCGCGAUGAGGGAAUCCCAAGUGCUUGCACGUAAGUGUAAGCUGUUUCUAUGUCUAAAACGCAUAGAGAGUAAGAGCUGGGUAAGACGGGUGCCAGCCGCCGCGGUAAUACCUGCAGCUCAAGUGGUGGCCGUUAUUAUUGGGCCUAAAACGUCCGUAGCCGGUUUAUUAAAUGCCUGGGUAAAUCGGGCCGCUUAACGGUUCGAAUUCCGGGUAGACUGAUAGACUUGGGACCGGGAGAAGCUAGAGGUACUCCUGGGGUAGAGGUGAAAUUCUGUAAUCCUAG
Molecule: ribosomal RNA, 550 nt
Filed under: uncultured archaeon
Lineage: Archaea
Description: bacterial SSU rRNA
Rfam family: Archaeal small subunit ribosomal RNA
Source: RNAcentral